UUUCAACUUGAGAGUUUGAUCCUGGCUCAGAACGAACGCUGGCGGCAGGCCUAACACAUGCAAGUCGAGCGCACCUUCGGGUGAGCGGCGGAC
Molecule: ribosomal RNA, 93 nt
Filed under: Roseobacter sp.
Lineage: Bacteria; Pseudomonadati; Pseudomonadota; Alphaproteobacteria; Rhodobacterales; Roseobacteraceae
Also listed under: 1 other name
Description: partial 16S ribosomal RNA
Rfam family: Bacterial small subunit ribosomal RNA
Source: RNAcentral